Molecule: long non-coding RNA, 420 nt
Filed under: Bos taurus (domestic cattle)
Lineage: Eukaryota; Metazoa; Chordata; Mammalia; Artiodactyla; Bovidae
Description: long non-coding RNA NONBTAT013792
Source: RNAcentral
AAUUAUCUAUCCAUAUUCUAGAAAAUAUUUGUAUUUUAAUAGAUAAGAAAAUAGUUUGCAGUCAGAUGUUUCCAUUCUUGAAAGAAAAUAGAUAAUACAAAUCAUAACAAUGUUAAGAAUAUUAAAAAAAAGAGUAAAAGGUAUGAACAUUGUCGUUUCCAUAUAGACAAGUAAGCACAGAUUGUGGGCAUCCUUCUAACUCUUGGGAAGCUAAAUUGAGAGUGCCAUUUCUUUCUUUUUCUUUGCCUCUUUUUAGAGAACUUCCAGUUGUAUAGUGUGUAGCAUGUGGGGAUGCAUCAAAUCUUUGAUUUUUAAGAUAUUCUAAAUAUGGGAAAUUUCUGACCUAGGGAAACAUGUAGUUUAAGUAAGUAAAAAGAAAAGUUCAGGAAAAUUUUUCUCUUAUAAUCCUUCAUUUGGCAC